RNAcentral lists this ribosomal RNA (316 nucleotides) under uncultured bacterium. Its description in RNAcentral is "bacterial SSU rRNA". It matches the Rfam family "Bacterial small subunit ribosomal RNA", at positions 29 to 370 of the family's 1533-position model. The record is from RNAcentral.
AACGAACGCUGGCGGCAGGCCUAAACAUGCAAGUCGAGCGGGCAUAGCAAUAUGUCAGCGGCGGACGGGUGAAUAACACGUGGGAACAUGCCCUUUGGUACGGAACAACUCAGGGGAAACUUGAGCUAAUACCGUAUGUGCCGGUAACGGGAAGAUUUAUCGCCAAAGGAUUGGCCCGCGUCCGAUUAGCUAGUUGGUGAGGUAACGGCUCACCAAGGCGACGAUCGGUAGCUGGUUUGAGAGAACGAUCAGCCACACUGGGGACUGAGACACGGCCCAGACUCCUACGGGAGGCAGCAGUUGGGAAUCUUGGGAC